Molecule: long non-coding RNA, 326 nt
Organism: Bombyx mandarina (wild silkworm)
Lineage: Eukaryota; Metazoa; Arthropoda; Insecta; Lepidoptera; Bombycidae
Source: RefSeq, a predicted model, not a curated record
UAUCAGCCCAUCACAGGUAUAGGGGUCCGGAAAAAUCAAUAUUUUUCUGCCCCACCCGCGAACACGCAUGCGUGGUGGUAUAACUGGUGGUAUUGGUACCGCCCUGGGGUAGCCGAGGCGAGUGGUGCUGACCCAGGUUUCACUCCUGUGGUACCAGUCGAGUAGGCAACACAGCCGACAUGUUAAGCUCCGUGGGGUUCUUUGGACCCUGGCGGUUCAGGCCACCUUAAUUCGAAAAGGCAGUUGCAUUGGACGAACGAUCACUCUGAGCAGAGCAAUCAAAAUGUGCACGAAGGAGUUCUGAAAAUUAAGGUAGUUGUUUUGCU